RNAcentral lists this transfer RNA (56 nucleotides) under Trichuris arvicolae. RNAcentral's name for it is "tRNA-Phe". Lineage: Eukaryota; Metazoa; Nematoda; Enoplea; Trichinellida; Trichuridae. The record is from RNAcentral.
AUUUCUUUAGCUUAAAUUAAAGCAUAACUCUGAAGAAGUUAAUAUUUAUAGAAAUA